This 361-nucleotide transfer-messenger RNA is filed under the name Bacteroidota bacterium. RNAcentral describes it as "Bacteroidetes bacterium (wastewater metagenome) transfer-messenger RNA". It matches the Rfam family "transfer-messenger RNA". From Rfam's summary of the family: Bacterial tmRNA, also known as 10Sa RNA or SsrA, is named for its dual tRNA and mRNA-like properties. The record is from RNAcentral. Lineage: Bacteria; Pseudomonadati; Bacteroidota.
GGGGGUGUUUUGGCUUCGACGGGGUCAGGAAUGGAUGGAUUUGCAUACCGUGCACGCCUUUACGCACGUUAAUCUCAGGGCAAAACAAUAAAUGCAGAUAACUACGGUUACGCACUCGCCGCUUAAUUAGCCACGAGCGCUGAUACAGAGCUCUCCUGAUGGUUCUGUAAAGGCGUCGACUUAGUCAGGAUAGUUGAUGUUCCGUCAGGGUAACAUCGGUGAGAUAUAAACCCUUGGCUGCAGUCCGGAUGUUAUGAGUUCAGUCAUGAGUCCGGAAUCAAGAAAAAAAACUGAGCUAUGUAUGUAGACGAUCUGUUGGUUUCUACUUCGGACCGGGGUUCGAAUCCCCGCACCUCCACAA